Long non-coding RNA from Oreochromis niloticus (Nile tilapia), 2223 nucleotides. RefSeq lists it as uncharacterized. The record is from RefSeq and is a predicted model, not a curated record. The transcript has 2 exons. Lineage: Eukaryota; Metazoa; Chordata; Actinopteri; Cichliformes; Cichlidae.
UAACUGUAUUCUGAAUACCACCUUUUUAAACGGUAACUGUAACAGAAUACAGUUACUCAUAUUUUGUAUUCUGAAUACGUAACGGCGGUACAUGUAUUCCGUUACUCCCCAACACUGUUUAUACAUAAUAACAGGACACGUGUGAUCUGAGCGCUGCUGUGGUUGCUGUGCUGCACGUCUUCAUUUAGAUAACAGAGACAUCUAGUGGUUCAGAGGGAGAACUGCAGGAGGUGGAGCUGUGUUUUAGCAUGAAAAACUUGUUUAUUCUUAUCUUUUAGACGCAAAUACAAAUAUGACAAAUAUCAUUGUGAGAUACAAAAGGUCAAAUCAGUUAGCAGAGGGAACAGUGAUCACACAGCAAUGUAAGAAUAGAAACAUAAUCGUGAAUAUGGACGUGUACACAGAUGGAAGCAAACAAACAGGAUGUAACAAUAAAUUAAAGCCACAAAUGAGAAGAAAACAAACCCAAGGGGAGAUAUAUUUGAUCUCAGGUUUCCAAAUCAGAUGAUUUAAAGUAUCAGAGUUUUUGUGGUUUGCUUUCUUGAAGUCAUUUUUUCUAUAAUUUGAAUUCCUUGAAUAAAACAACAAACUUAGGGGAUGAUUUGGUAAUCCUACUUUUGUGUAUGAAAGAUUUGACUAAACAUAAAACAAUCUUCCCACUCAGUCGUCGUUCUUAUCUUGUGAAAUCAAACCAAAUGUUCUGUUGUCUCUAAAUCAGGGAUUGAUGAAAUCUUUGCUUUCAUCCAUUUAUGAACAUGUUCUCGUUCAUAUUAAAUCGUAGUCUAAGUCAUUCUUUAGAGGGAUAAAUGUCAUUCAUUAUCUUCAAAUGUGUUUCUGUUGUUUUGGGGGAAGUUUGAAGUCCAUUGUUCUGUCUGUUAAUGAAACUUUAUCACGUUUCUGUAGGAUUUGGUUCCUAUUUUGUAUUUGUUUGAAUUAUUAUGUACUUAUGUGGUACAUUUUGGACUCUUUCUGCCAUGAUGCCAGGUCUCUCUUGAAAACAACAUUUUUAAUCUCAAUUAAAUUUUCACCUGGAGAAAUAAAGGAUGAUAAUAAUUUUGUCUUCAGCGGAAUCAUUUCUCUGUAAAACAGCUUCUUCUGAAACUCUUGUUACAUUUCUUGUUUAUUGUUUACUGGUUUUAGAAAAAUGUCAUCGUCUCUGUGUGAACUUAAUCUCUACAUGUGGUGUCAGCUAUGAUACGAGCUCCAGUGUCUAAUAAUGAUGCUUUUAUUAUUGUCUGGUAUAAGGAGCAGCUGGAUAACCCACUGGUCAUGAAAACGGCACCUUACUGUUGGUUUUUAGCAAACACAAUUUCACUUAAAGUUUGGCCCAAAUUACCAUCCAACAUUUCAAGUUUUCCUGACUACAAAUCCAGAGAUUGUGACUCUGAUGGUCAAAGACCAAGAGGGGACAGAAACCUGGAAGUCAUCUGUUUACCUGCAGGUCAGCGUCCUGUUACAUGUCUGUUAUCUUUGUUCCUUCAGCACCAAGAACAGAAACCUUAAUGAGGAGUGUCCCAGCUGAGGCCCGAGUCCCAGCAGCUGAGAGGCUGCUCACAGUUCGCUCACAGUUUAUUGAAAGAGUGUCUGAAGCUGUUUUAAACCAACGUCUGGAUAAACUCCUGCAGCAGCGUGUUAUCAAUGAUCAGGAGAUGGAAUCAGUCAGAUCACAGCAGAUGAAGCACGAGACGUGAUGGACACGAGGAAGUGAAGCCAGCUCACUGCUGAUCGCUGCUCUGUGAGGAGGAUCGAUGCCUUUGCACAGAGCUGAACCUGGAUGAAGACAGACUUGGAAAGAGUCUGUGGAGCUGUGACCAUCAAUCUCAAAGAGCACUGACAGAGUCACUGUGAUCUUCAUGUGACGUGUUUUUAAACUGCACUUUAGUUCUGAAAGUGCCUCUCAUUAAAACAUGGACUCUGAUUAGAUGCUGAGCAGGACAUUGGAUGGACUGAAGCAGAGUCUGGGACCUCAGUAAUUAUUAGUGCACAAACCAGCAAAUAUGUGAAGCUCCAUUAAUGCUGAACCACAUCUACAGGUUGAAGAGCAACAGCUCAGGUUAUCUGGGACCAGCGUCAGUUUCCACCAAUAUAACUGAAGCUGUUUCUACCUGUAAUGCUGGAAUAACCUAUUGAAUCACAUGAUCAGUGUUUACAAUCUGUUUACUGAGGUUUAAACUCUCCUCUGUGCUUCUGCCUGUUUAAAUAAAGUUUUGCUGCUUGCUUUCU